GCACCGAUAUUUUACAUUAAUCUAGAGAGCAUGACUAAUGACAUAAAAUUACAAAUUUAUAUACAAGCAAUUAUGACCCGUUUAAUAGGAUCAUAUCACACCUAGAUUGGUGUUCAAAUGCUAGAUAACAUUAUUAAGUAACAAAAUUAUACCAAUCAAACACAAUAAAUUAACAAUUAUCAGAAAAAUAAUUUCUAAACAAUUUAAUUCCUUGGAAUUCGUUUUCUUUCCACUCAAAUUCUAUCUUUGCAAUCAAACGGACCCUAAAUAAAAUAAAAUCGAUUCCACGCUUAAUUUCAACAUGGUGCAAACCGAUCCAUGAGCAAAAACGUCAUUUCUGACCCAGUCUCCUCCCUCAAGGCGUUUGUUGGUGACUUGAGGGUGGCUGAUGACGAAGACAACUCUUGCUUCCACUGUUUUCUUUCGUGUACCUCAUUAGCCAUAAUCUGAAUAAUUGGAUUUCGGGCUCCGACUUUCGCUCUUACCUUUGAAAUUUUUUCGAGGCACACAUCAACUACAGCUGCCAUUUCUGUAUUCUCCUUUCCUCUCUAUUUCUUGAUGAAAUUAUUGAAAUCGAUGUAGAGAUGAAAGUAGUUUAUUAUUGCAUUUGUAGAGUGGGAAAAUGAAUGGUUCUAAAGGGGAAAAAAAUAUCAGCGUGCGAAGGCCCCUUGAAUAUUGCUAUAUGAUCCCCUUGGAAGUGAAUAUUUUAUAGGAUAUUCCAAGAAACUGCUUAGCAUAUUUCUCAGACAAAUCCAAUAUUAAAGCAUGGGAAAAUUGCACCAUCGGUUCCCACUAUUUGCUUUUAGCAACUACUUCGUGGUCGAAACCUUCAAUAUGGAGUAUUUCGAUCCUUAACCUUUCGCUUGUCCAUAGUUACC
RNAcentral lists this long non-coding RNA (878 nucleotides) under Olea europaea subsp. europaea. The record is from RNAcentral. Lineage: Eukaryota; Viridiplantae; Streptophyta; Magnoliopsida; Lamiales; Oleaceae.